This 332-nucleotide long non-coding RNA is filed under the name Amborella trichopoda. Its description in RNAcentral is "long non-coding RNA (ATRI_LNC005515)". The record is from RNAcentral. Lineage: Eukaryota; Viridiplantae; Streptophyta; Magnoliopsida; Amborellales; Amborellaceae.
CCUCCAGUCAGUCAGACCAGAGGUAGGCCCCAGUCAUAUAGGCAGCUAGCAACACAUUCAAGUCAGUCUACCAACACAGUCUUUUUAGGCAGCGACCCCCCAAGUCAAUUCAGCCAGAGGCAAGCGAUAGCGAAGGACUUCCUCAAAUAAAGUCCGUUUUAUAUAGUUUUUGAAAAGAACAGCAACUCUUGUAAUGCGCCUUGCGACGUAAAGAGCAAAUCAAAACCACACGGAGAAGCCAAUCACUAAGCAGAAGGUCACCAAGAUAGGUGAAGGUUUGCAACCUGGCUUGACUUGAGCUUGUUAUCUUGUCCUAAUACACCUGCAGCGCG